Molecule: ribosomal RNA, 167 nt
Filed under: Psilocybe sp.
Lineage: Eukaryota; Fungi; Basidiomycota; Agaricomycetes; Agaricales; Agrocybaceae
Description: partial large subunit ribosomal RNA
Rfam family: Eukaryotic large subunit ribosomal RNA
Source: RNAcentral
GGGAAAAGCUCAAAUUUUGAAUCUGGCGUCUUUGGCGUCCGAGUUGUAAUCUAGAGAAGUGUUUUCCGCACCGGACCGUGCACAAGUCUCCUGGAAUGGAGCGUCAUAGAGGGUGAGAAUCCCGUCUUUGACACGGACUGCCAGGGCUUUUGUGAUGUGCUCUCAAA